UACGGAGGGGGCAAGCGUUGUUCGGAAUUACUGGGCGUAAAGCGCGCGUAGGCGGUUUUUCAAGUUAGGCGUGAAAGCCCUGGGCUCAACCCGGGAAUUGCGCUUAAUACUGAAUGACUUGAGGCCGGGAGAGGGUAGUGGAAUUCCCAGUGUAGAGGUGAAAUUCGUAGAUAUUGGGAAGAACACCAGUGGCGAAGGCGGCUACCUGGACCGGUACUGACGCUGAUGCGCGAAAGCGUGGGGAGUAAACAGG
This 253-nucleotide ribosomal RNA is filed under the name uncultured bacterium. RNAcentral's name for it is "partial 16S ribosomal RNA". It matches the Rfam family "Bacterial small subunit ribosomal RNA", at positions 524 to 776 of the family's 1533-position model. The record is from RNAcentral.